CCUGCAGUUCAGGCUAGGCAAGCCACUUGAAGUAGGUUUUAGCUAAGUAGGUUUGGCUUGGCCAGUACUUGGAUGGGAGACCAAUUAGGAAAGCUGGGUUGCUGCUGGA
RNAcentral lists this ribosomal RNA (109 nucleotides) under Paramormyrops kingsleyae. The record is from RNAcentral. Lineage: Eukaryota; Metazoa; Chordata; Actinopteri; Osteoglossiformes; Mormyridae.